GAGACAUAGCUCAGCUGGGAGAGCAUUUGCUUGACGUGCAGGAGGUCGCAGGUUCGAGUCCUGUUGUCUCC
This 71-nucleotide transfer RNA is filed under the name chicken gut metagenome. It matches the Rfam family "tRNA". Rfam says of the family: Transfer RNA (tRNA) molecules are approximately 80 nucleotides in length. Their secondary structure includes four short double-helical elements and three loops (D, anti-codon, and T loops). The record is from RNAcentral. RNAcentral also lists the same sequence under 1 other name.